UAUGUGAUCGUCUCUCGCAUAUCAAUAAGCAGGAGGAAAAGAAACUAACAAGGAUUCCCCUAGUAACGGCGAGUGAAGCGGGAAGAGCUCAAAUUUGAAAUCUUAAAGGGUUUCCCUUUACGAAUUGUAGUUUAAAGAAGUGUUUUCUGUUGAGGUUUUGGUAAAAGUUCUUUGGAAUAGGACAUCAUAGAGGGUGAGAAUCCCGUAUUUGACCCUUACUUUCAACUUUGUGAUACACUUUCAAAGAGUCGGAUUGUUUGGGAAUGCAGUCCAAAAUGGGUGGUAAAUUUCAUCUAAAGCUAAAUAUUGGCGAGAGACCGAUAGCGAACAAGUACCGUGAGGGAAAGAUGAAAAGAACUUUGAAAAGAGAGUUAAACAGUACGUGAAAUUGUCAAAAGGGAAGCGUUUGACACCAGUGUUGUUUUUCUGAAAAUCAAUUAAAGAACUGUUUAUGCUAAGUUGUUUAGACUUUAUCAGCUAACUGCUUAGUUUUGAGCUUUUCUUUAAUGCACUUUUCAGUUAACAAGUCAACAUCAAUUUCUUUUGCUGUAAAAAAGCUUGAGGAAGGUGGCUUGAGAUUCGUCUUAAGUGUUUAUAGCCUCUUGCCUAUGCAGUCGGAGAGAUUGAGGUCUGCAGCGUAGAUCCUUCGGGGCUAAAUGCAUUUGUGCUAAGUUAUAGCAUUUUAUAGACAACUUGUUGACUAUGAUUUGUCUUGUAGCUUACUCGCUUAUGUUAUUUUACCUACGCUUAGGAUGUUGAGUAGCGACAUACGCAC
RNAcentral lists this ribosomal RNA (775 nucleotides) under uncultured Neocallimastigales. RNAcentral describes it as "partial large subunit ribosomal RNA". It matches the Rfam family "Eukaryotic large subunit ribosomal RNA", at positions 1 to 649 of the family's 3401-position model. Lineage: Eukaryota; Fungi; Neocallimastigomycota; Neocallimastigomycetes; Neocallimastigales. The record is from RNAcentral.